Molecule: ribosomal RNA, 481 nt
Filed under: uncultured bacterium
Lineage: Bacteria
Description: bacterial SSU rRNA
Rfam family: Bacterial small subunit ribosomal RNA
Source: RNAcentral
GGCGGACGGGUGAGUAACGCGUGAACAAUCUGUCCUGUACAAAGGAAUAGCCUCGGGAAACCGGGAUUAAAACCAUAUAACACUUAAGUAUCGCAUGGUACAUAAGUCAAAUUGAAUAAGAGGUAUAGGAUGAGUUCGCGUCUGAUUAGCUAGUUGGUGAGGUAAAGGCCCACCAAGGCGACGAUCAGUAGCCGGCCUGAGAGGGUGAACGGCCACACUGGAACUGAGACACGGUCCAGACUCCUACGGGAGGCAGCAGUGGGGAAUAUUGCACAAUGGAGGAAACUCUGAUGCAGCGACGCCGCGUGAGUGAAGAAGGUCUUCGGAUCGUAAAACUCUGUCCUUGGUGAAGAAAGAAAUGACGGUAGCCAAGGAGGAAGCCCCGGCUAACUACGUGCCAGCAGCCGCGGUAAUACGUAGGGGGCGAGCGUUGUCCGGAUUUACUGGGCGUAAAGGGUGAGUAGGCGGUAAUAUGUGUCAG